This 497-nucleotide ribosomal RNA is filed under the name uncultured bacterium. RNAcentral describes it as "partial 16S ribosomal RNA". It matches the Rfam family "Bacterial small subunit ribosomal RNA", at positions 28 to 507 of the family's 1533-position model. The record is from RNAcentral.
GAUGAACGCUGGCGGCGUGCCUAAUACAUGCAAGUCGAGCGAACGGACGAGAAGCUUGCUUCUCUGAUGUUAGCGGCGGACGGGUGAGUAACACGUGGAUAACCUACCUAUAAGACUGGGAUAACUUCGGGAAACCGGAGCUAAUACCGGAUAAUAUUUUGAACCGCAUGGUUCAAAAGUGAAAGACGGUCUUGCUGUCACUUAUAGAUGGAUCCGCGCUGCAUUAGCUAGUUGGUAAGGUAACGGCUUACCAAGGCAACGAUGCAUAGCCGACCUGAGAGGGUGAUCGGCCACACUGGAACUGAGACAGGGUCCAGACUCCUACGGGAGGCAGCAGUCGGGAAUCUUCCGCAAUGGGCGAAAGCCUGACGGAGCAACGCCGCGUGAGUGAUGAAGGUCUUCGGAUCGUAAAACUCUGUUAUUAGGGAAGAACAUAUGUGUAAGUAACUGUGCACAUCUUGACGGUACCUAAUCAGAAAGCCACGGCUAACUACGUG